This 265-nucleotide ribosomal RNA is filed under the name uncultured bacterium. RNAcentral describes it as "partial 16S ribosomal RNA". It matches the Rfam family "Bacterial small subunit ribosomal RNA", at positions 88 to 354 of the family's 1533-position model. The record is from RNAcentral.
CCGGCGACCGGCGCGCGGGUGAGUAACACGUAUGCAACCUGCCCUCUUCAGGGGGACAACCUUCCGAAAGGGAGGCUAAUCCCGCGUAUAUCGGUUUCGGGCAUCCGAGAUCGAGGAAAGAUUCAUCGGAAGAGGAUGGGCAUGCGGCGCAUUAGCUAGACGGCGGGGUAACGGCCCACCGUGGCGACGAUGCGUAGGGGUUCUGAGAGGAAGGUCCCCCACACUGGUACUGAGACACGGACCAGACUCCUACGGAAGGCAGCAG